Molecule: long non-coding RNA, 430 nt
Filed under: Sus scrofa (pig)
Lineage: Eukaryota; Metazoa; Chordata; Mammalia; Artiodactyla; Suidae
Description: lncRNA (ENSSSCG00070016559.1)
Source: RNAcentral
AAUUGAUUUACAGCAUUGUGAUCGUUUCUGCUGUUCAACAAAGUGAUUCAGUUAUACAUGUACACACUUCCAUUCACAUGGGCUUACUUUGUUCUCAUCCCAUAGCUCACUUCCCAUCAUCAGGGUCUGUGUUGCACCAGAUCCCAUCAGCAACACCAGAUUAUGGUGAAAAUAAGCGCAUAGACUCAACAUUUAUUUAGAAAUUUACCCACAGAGGGAAAUGAGGAGGAUUGACUGCCAGAUGGAAGCCAAGGACCAUUAUACUUCAGUUCUCUUUUUAUACAGAAGGAGUGAUAAUGUUGAAAAGGUAAGAUGUCUGGUUUUGAACUAUCUUCCACUUCAGAGGAAUCCUGGGCCUUAGAAAGCUGAAGAAGAAACACUUUGGAGUCCAGUUAAAGAAAAGGAGGAUCAGGAUGCUUUGACAUACAGG